Molecule: ribosomal RNA, 219 nt
Filed under: uncultured bacterium
Lineage: Bacteria
Description: partial 16S ribosomal RNA
Rfam family: Bacterial small subunit ribosomal RNA
Source: RNAcentral
CGGAACACGUAGGUAAUCUGCCCUGGGGGGAGAACAACUCGCCGAAAGGCGAGCUAAAUCUCCGUAACAUAGAGAUACGGCAUCGUAUUUUUAUCAAAUUCUCCCUGGGAUGAGCCUGCGUCUGAUUAGCUAGUUGGUAGUGUAACGGACUACCAAGGCUACGAUCAGUAGCUGGUCUGAGAGGAUGAUCAGCCACAUUGGGACUGAGACACGGCCCAG